AAAGCAUUGUGUUGUAAAGUCCCUGAGAAAUUUGUUUGUCACUUCGUCGUUUGCGUUUCUAUCGCGUCGGAGAAAUGAACGAAGAAUUGAGGGAAGCGGUGAAGAGAGGUGAUAUUGAGUCAGUAACGCGUCUUUUGGAUACACAAGUUGAUAUCACGUGAUUUCGUUUGGAACACUCUUCUGAUACAAGCGUGUUGGAAGAAGAACAAGGAGAUGGUUGAGUUGCUGUUCACGAAAUCAGUAGAUGUUAAGGGGACCAACAGGAGGGGAUGGACAGCUUUGAUGAUAGGAGCAAUGCAUGGAUCUGAAGAAAUCAUCAAUCUGUUACUGAAUGUCAAAGAUAUUAAUGUGAUGAAG
Long non-coding RNA from Corticium candelabrum, 357 nucleotides. RefSeq lists it as uncharacterized. The transcript has 4 exons. The record is from RefSeq and is a predicted model, not a curated record. Lineage: Eukaryota; Metazoa; Porifera; Homoscleromorpha; Homosclerophorida; Plakinidae.